RNAcentral lists this ribosomal RNA (915 nucleotides) under uncultured marine archaeon. RNAcentral's name for it is "bacterial SSU rRNA". It matches the Rfam family "Archaeal small subunit ribosomal RNA", at positions 1 to 921 of the family's 1478-position model. The record is from RNAcentral.
UUCCGGUUGAUCCUGCCGGAGGCUACCGCUAUUGGAGUUCGAUUAAGCCAUGCGAGUCGAGAGUCUUCAAGGACUCGGCGUACCGCUCAGUAACACGUGGGUAACCUGCCCUAUGCUGGGGAAUAACCUCGGGAAACUGAGAAUAAUACCCCAUAGUUCACCACGCCUGGAACGGUGGGUGGAUGAAAGCUCCGGCGGCAUAGGAUGGGCCUGCGGCGUAUCAGGUUGUAGGGGGUGUAAUGUACCCUCUAGCCAUCUACGCGUACGGGUGUUGGGAGACAUCGCCCGGAGAUGGAUUCUGAGACACGAAUCCAGACCCUACGGGGUGCAGCAGGCGCGAAAACUUGGCAAUGCGAGCAAUCGUGACCAGGGAACUCCAAGUGCAUCGGGUAAGACCGAUGCUUUUCUUGACUCUUCAAAGGUCUUGGAAUAAGGGGUGGGUAAGGACGGUGCCAGCCGCCGCGGUAAUACCGGCGCCUCAAGUGGUAGUCGCUUUUAUUGGGCCUAAAACGUCCGUAGCCGGUUUGGUACAUUCGUGGGUAAAUCAAGGCGCUCAACGUCUUGAAUUCUGCGAGCACGGCCAGACUUGGGACCGGGUGAGGUGUGGGGUACUCUCAGGGUAGGGGUAAAAUCCUGUCAUCCUGAGAGGACCACCUGUUGCGAAGGCGCCACACUAGAACGGAUCCGACGGUCAGGGACGAAGCCUAGGGGCACGAACCGGAUUAGAUACCCGGGUAGUCCUAGGUGUAAACGCUGUGGACUUGAUGUUGGGAGUGCUCCGAGCACCCUCAGUGUCGAAGCGAAGGUGAUAAGUCCACUGCCUGGGGAGUACGGUCGCAAGGCUGAAACUUAAAGGAAUUGGCGGGGGAGCACUGCAACCUGAGGAUUGUGCGGUUUAAUUGGAUUCAACGCCGG